UUUGCGAGUUGUAGAAGGGUAUAACGCGGGGGUGCGUCGCCGAUAGGGGCUAGGGACUAUUUGGUGGCGUCAAAAUGAUACGCAUCUAACGUAUAGGAAACUGUAAUUUGCAAAUUGGGUGGCAUAUGGCGUUAAAAUAAAUACAUCUCUGAGCUACGGAGACAUAUUCGUUUUAUUGGGUAAUAUAUUUAUAAUGCACAAUGAGCAAGCGGACGUGAAUCGAUGUCUUCAUUUGGGGGGGUAGCGCGGGUUUCUCUUCAAUGACUUCUUGCGUUAGAAAUUUACGAAUAAAGUCGGCCGUUUAUAAUGUACAUUUAGAUAGCAAACAUGUGAACUAUCCAUCCGCUUGAUUAUUUUAUAAAAUCCUCGUUCCAUCCGUUUGAAUAAUAGGUAUUUAUAAAUCGAAAGGAUGCGAAUUAUCUGUUUAUCGUUAAGGACGCAAAAAGGGUUCCGCAUUAUAAAUACCACUUUAUCGCAUCAUUUGUUCUCAAUGCGUGUACGAGCAGCAAAAUGACAUCGGCGCCGACGAGGACCAAUAUUUCAAAGUGUGAGUGGUUGUUAAACGAAAUUCGAGAGUAUGUGCCAAACGGGUACACGAUCAUGUGCCCGUGUGCACAUAAUCUGGUUUAUGAUGAGAGGCGCGACAUUCUACUAUUUAUAGACCCCUUUUUUGGGGAUUACUAUAUAUGGGUUUUUACGAAUUCAGAACCCUCAGGAAGGGGAGUAGCAUUUGUGCGUGUAGGACCAAGAUACCAAUCACCUCGUCAAAGGAACUGCUACAAUCAAAAUCGUUGACAUCAGUCGUCCUCCUCGUCCUUCAAAAAAACUAAUGCAGA
Long non-coding RNA from Photinus pyralis (common eastern firefly), 836 nucleotides. RefSeq lists it as uncharacterized. Lineage: Eukaryota; Metazoa; Arthropoda; Insecta; Coleoptera; Lampyridae. The record is from RefSeq and is a predicted model, not a curated record. The transcript is spliced from 3 exons.